This 512-nucleotide ribosomal RNA is filed under the name uncultured bacterium. Its description in RNAcentral is "partial 16S ribosomal RNA". It matches the Rfam family "Bacterial small subunit ribosomal RNA", at positions 28 to 522 of the family's 1533-position model. The record is from RNAcentral.
GACGAACGCUGGCGGCAUGCCUAAUACAUGCAAGUCGAGCGAACAGAUGAAGUGCUUGCACUUCUGACGUUAGCGGCGAACGGGUGAGUAACACGUAAGGAAUCUACCUAUAAGCGGGGGAUAACAUUCGGAAACGGGUGCUAAUACCGCAUAAUAUCUUCUUCCGCAUGGAAGAAGAUUGAAAGACGGCUCUGCUGUCACUUAUAGAUGACCUUGCGGUGCAUUAGUUAGUUGGUGGGGUAAUGGCCUACCAAGACGAUGAUGCAUAGCCGACGUGAGAGGGUGAUGGGCCACAUUGGGGCUGGGACACGGCCGAAACUCCUACGGGAGGCAGCAGUAGGGAAUCUGCCGCAAUGGGCGAAAACCUGACGGAGCAAUGCCGCGUGAGUGAAGAAGGCCUUCGGGUCGUAAAACUCUGUUAUAAGAGAAGAACAAAUUGUAGAGUAACUGCUACAGUCUUGACGGUAUCUUAUCAGAAAGCCACGGCUAACUACGUGCCAGCCGCCGCAUAA